Long non-coding RNA from Bubalus bubalis (water buffalo), 2996 nucleotides. RefSeq lists it as uncharacterized. Lineage: Eukaryota; Metazoa; Chordata; Mammalia; Artiodactyla; Bovidae. The transcript is spliced from 2 exons. The record is from RefSeq and is a predicted model, not a curated record.
AAAAAAUCAAAAAAGUACUUCAGAGCUCUUCCCCCUUUCCUCCUGGCCUGAUUUCAAUGCAAGGCAGAAUUUUAAGUCUUGAUUCCUUUGGGAAAUAAUCAGACUGCUAUGAAAUAUAGAAAGUGAUUCUGAUCUCUAAGUAGGACGAUUUAAAUACAAACCCUCUUUUAAUCCCACAUUCCCUCUGUAAACAACUAUUUCUUACCUCUUUUGGAGCCAAACUUCUUAAAGAAGCUGUCUACAUAUGGUACCUACUUCUUUCCCCCUUCCCUUCACUUAACCUUCAAACUCCUGAAAUCUGGCUUCCUCUCAGUACUCCAUAAACCUUAGAAUUUCCAUACAAGAACCCAAAACAGCAACAAAUUCAAAACAGGUUCCAAGAAUUAGGAAGAUAAGUGAGCAGAGUUUAUCUGGAAAACAAGAAAAUCCAGGACACAUCUUUGGCAAAUACAUUGCCAGAUGAGAUGCAACAAAAACUGUUCAUCUCAGAACUAUCAAGAAACAAACAAUUUUAGAAAGACACAAACAUGAAUACUGAAAACAGAACAGCCAUGGGACUGAAAUUCAAAAGGCAUAAUGCCUAAUAUUAAAGAUACAAACAGUAAGCAAGACAAGAGUUGAAAUGGAAUUCUUCCAUUGAGACUGUCAAAUGUAAAAUAAAUAAAUGUAAAGUUCAUCACCAAAAACAGCACUUAAUUUUCAAUACAUUAUCAAUUUUUGCAUCCCAUUACUAGGAAAGUAUUCCAUUGAAAUAGCACAGGACUGAUGGGGGUCUUUUACAUCACACUUAUGUAAGAUGCUGCUUAGUUGCAGUUAAGCAAUUACAAUAAAGUGCUCUAUUAUAUUAUAUUAGUUACUUGCAAUAUACUUUUAUACAUUACCACUUAGGCAACUGCUUUAUUUCAGCAUGUUUAACAUUUAAAUGAACGUUUUCUGUAAUUUUUCUGUCUUAAUAUAAAAGACUAUGAAACAUUCACUAGGAAAUGCCUCUACAUAUGCUAACAUUGAGUCAAUAGCAUAAAUGCUCUCCAGUUCAAUGUGGACAACUGCCAAGAAACUAUGAAAGAUUCUGCUUAAUACUAUAUUAAUGACUAAAAGUCUGAUGGUACAGAAUAAGGAAGGAGGAAAGCUGAGUUUUAUUUUGGCUCAAAGGUAGAAAAAAAAGAUCAUUUAGAUUAUGUCAAGGGUUAUGGUUACUGAACUUUACCUUAUGGAGGUGGAGUAACUCAAACAAAUCCCCAGGCUAUUCCAUUUAUAAGCACCUAUGUGCCAAAUUCACCAAGUCAUGGCUUAGGAGUAAAUAGAUGAUUUUGAUGAACAUUUUCUAAAACAUUUUCUAAAAUGUCUUAAGACAGAACUCACUGAGGAUUAACCUUUACAGCAAGUUCAAAAACAGUACUAUAAAGUCCAUAAUCGAAUUACGAAUUAUACGGACCUACUUACAUAAUUGCUUAAAACUGUACAUCUCUGCAGUUUCCUUAAGUGGCUAUAUUCAUGAACAUAUUUAUAUUGGAUUAAGUUCAGCUUUAUAUACUUAUUCUUGCAAAGAAAUGUUCUAGUGCCACUUUAAUUAUCCAAACCUACUAAAAACUGAGAAAUAAAAAUCAUGAAAGGCUCAUUUUUCUGGUUAAUUAAACACAGCAGCUACAAUUAUACCAACCUGUUACAAAAACAACAGUGGGUCAACUAAACAAGACUAGAAAACAUAUGCUUAAGUUUUCUGAAUGCUGUUAAAGUAAAAUGUGUAAAUAUGAAAUAUUUGUUUCCAGAAUAAGUUAAAAAUCUGAGUUUCCUGAGAAACUCCAAAUGCUGAACCCUGUAUAACAUGCUCAUCUGUGUCCACUUUAAAAAUAAAUGGUGUAGAAAACAUUUAACUCAAUAUAAGGCUAUCCAAUAUGAUAAUUUUGGUAAAAUGCUUUUCAUUUUCCCCCUUAAGUUUCCAUGUCUUAAUUCUGUGACCAACUUAAAAUAACUCUUACUGUAACUGCUGGGGUUUACAUCACCUUUGGAUUGCUGGCAUUUCAUUUCUGAGAAUGGUUAAGAAAAUUGAUUUUAUUUUGGAAGCGAUAAAGAAAGGCAGACAAUAUAACUGAUAGUUGCUCUCUCAAAUUUCAUAGCUUGAAAUAUAAAAGCAUUAUUUUAGAUCUCUGCAGGCAUGAAACAAUUCUAACAUUUUUUAUAAUUUGGGACAUCACCUUUUAGAGAAUUAACUAACUACACUGAUUCUCAAUGAAGACAGGGCCUAAUUUUCAUAACCAAUUGAGGGUUUUUCAAACUAUACAAGUACACAAGCAAAAUUUUAUUGUAAUUUUUUUCAAUUUCAGCUACCCCAGGCACUACCAUGAAAACAGUAACAGGAAUUUUACAUUCCUUACGUGGUACGGGCUGAAAAAAAAUGUCUUAUAUCAUAAUUCUAUCAAAGGAGAAACUGGAACUAUACUUUGUUAAGAAUUUGGUCAUACAAGUUUGACUUACCAACAAACUGUGAGAAGAGUUCAUCUAAGGAUAAUAUGCAAAAGGAAAGGAGAAAAACAGCACUAAUAUAUCAGCCUUUUAAGACCUUCCGACACCCUCAAGAAGAAAGAAAAUUUCUCAUCUUUUCAUAGUGAAGACAGAUUCUGAAAAAGAACACACAGCAUUGUUUAAUAACACAACUGGAGAAAAAACACAGUUCAUUCGAGAUACUGGGCAAAACAACUUGAAAGACCAAUGACUUUAGUCUCAGCUACUUAGUUUGAAAGAAAAUUAGUUGCUAACGUAGUGGUAUAUAUGGAGUUCUACAAAUUAAACACUAAUUGUAUUUUUAAAGUAAGUUGGUGGUCCAUGGUCCUGAAGAUCCCGUCUGGGCAGUAAUUUUAGUAUCCACUCUAUGUUUAUUCAAGAACCCUCUUACUCAGUAACCAAUCUCCAGCCGUCCACAGGUCGAUCAUCAGUAUUCCCUUUUAACGUCUCCCUGCCUUCGCUGGCAAGUAUGAAGAUGUCAUUUUAAACAGGGA